This 752-nucleotide ribosomal RNA is filed under the name uncultured Glomus. Its description in RNAcentral is "SSU rRNA". It matches the Rfam family "Eukaryotic small subunit ribosomal RNA", at positions 338 to 1092 of the family's 1831-position model. The record is from RNAcentral. Lineage: Eukaryota; Fungi; Glomeromycota; Glomeromycetes; Glomerales; Glomeraceae.
GGCCUACCAUGGUGGUAACGGGUAACGGGGUGUUAGGGCACGACACCGGAGAGGGAGCCUGAGAAACGGCUACCACAUCCAAGGAUGGCAGCAGGCGCGCAAAUUACCCAAUCCCGACACGGGGAGGUAGUGACAAUAAAUAACAAUACGGGGUUCUUUCGGAUCUCGUAAUUGGAAUGAGUACAAUUUAAAUCUCUUAACGAGGAACAAUUGGAGGGCAAGUCUGGUGCCAGCAGCCGCGGUAAUUCCAGCUCCAAUAGCGUAUAUUAAAGUUGUUGCAGUUAAAAAGCUCGUAGUUGAAUUUCGAGAUCAAAUUGUUGGUCGUGCCUCGGUACGUACUGGCAUUAUUGAUUUCUCCCUUCUGAAGAACCUUGAUGUCAUUAAUUUGGUGUCUUGGGGAAUCAGGACUGUUACUUUGAAAAAAUUAGAGUGUUUAAAGCAGGCUCACGCUUGAAUACAUUAGCAUGGAAUAAUGAAAUAGGACGUUUGAUUCUAUUUUGUUGGUUUCUAGGAUCGACGUAAUGAUUAAUAGGGAUAGUUGGGGGCAUUAGUAUUCAAUUGUCAGAGGUGAAAUUCUUGGAUUUAUUGAAGACUAACUACUGCGAAAGCAUUUGCCAAGGAUGUUUUCAUUAAUCAAGAACGAAAGUUAGGGGAUCGAAGACGAUCAGAUACCGUCGUAGUCUUAACCAUAAACUAUGCCGACUAGGGAUCGGAUGAUGUUAAUUUUUUAAUGACUCAUUCGGCGCCUUACG